UGAAUACGAGAUGCUACGGCGUCGAAGCAGUCUAUGUCAUACUUCCAAGAAAAGCUUGCACUGUCAUAAACAAAUAAUGCCUGUACCAUAACCGACACAGGUGGGUAGGUAGAGUAUACUAAGGGGCGCGAGAUAACUCUCUCUAAGGAACUCGGCAAAAUGACUCCGUAACUUCGGGAGAAGGAGUGCCUUAUUUAUAAGGUUGCAAUAACAAGAUCCAAGCAACUGUUUACCAAAAACACAGGUCUCCGCUAAGUCGUAAGACGAUGUAUGGGGGCUGACGCCUGCCCAGUGCCAGAAGGUUAAAGAAGUUGGUUAGCAUCCGCGAAGCUGAUAACUGAAGCCCUGGUGAACGGCGGCCGUAACGAUAACGGUCCUAAGGUAGCGAAAUUCCUUGUCGGGUAAGUUCCGACCCGCACGAAAGGCGUAAUGAUUUGGAUACUGUCUCGGAGAGGGGCUCGGUGAAAUAGACUUGUCUGUGAAGAUGCGGACUACCUGCACCAGGACAGAAAGACCCUAUGAAGCUUUACUGUAACCUGAAAUUGAAAUUGGACUUUACUUGCGCAGUAUAGGUGGGAGGCGUUGAGAAUAUUCUUGCGGGAUUAUUGGAGCCAUCAGUGAGAUACCACUCUUGUAAUGUUAGAUUUCUAACUUUGUAUCAUUAUCUGGUCAAAGAACAGUUUCAGGCGGGCAGUUUGACUGGGGCGGUCGCCUCCUAAACGGUAACGGAGGCGCACAAAGGUUUCCUCUGAACGGGUAGAAAUCGUAUCUAGAGUGUAAAGGCAUAAGGAAGCUUGACUGUGAGACCUACAAGUCGAGCAGGGACGAAAGUCGGUCUUAGUGAUCUGACGGUGCUGAGUGGAAAGGCCGUCACUCAACGGAUAAAAGUUACUCUAAGGAUAACAGGCUGAUCUCCCCCAAGAGUUCACAUCGACGGGGAGGUUUGGCACCUCGAUGUCGGCUCAUCGCAUCCUGGGGCGGUAGUACGUCCCAAGGGUUGGGCUGUUCGCCCAUGAAAGCGGUACGCGAGCUGGGUUCAGAACGUCGUGAGACAGUUCGGUCCAUAUCCGGUGUAGGCGUUAGAAUAUUGAGAGGAGCCUUCUUUAGUACGAGAGGACCGAGAAGGACAUACCUCUGGUGUACCAGUUAUCGUGCCAACGGUAAACGCUGGGUAGCUAUGUGUGGAGUGGAUAACCGCUGAAAGCAUCUAAGUGGGAAGCCCACCUCAAGAUAAGUAUUCUCAC
This 1244-nucleotide ribosomal RNA is filed under the name metagenome. RNAcentral's name for it is "bacterial LSU rRNA". It matches the Rfam family "Bacterial large subunit ribosomal RNA", at positions 1564 to 2817 of the family's 2925-position model. The record is from RNAcentral.